UCGAACGAGAAUCUGGAGGUUCAAGUUUCGGACAAGAACUUCGGAGGAAAGUAGGCGGAAGGGUGAGUACAACAUGGAUAAUCUACUUCAAGUUGGGUAUAGCUUCCCGAAAGGGGAGAUAAUCCCGAAUGUGGUGAUCCGGCGCCUGUCGGAGAAUCCAAAGGUGGGGACCGCAAGGCCUGCCGCUUGAAGAUGAGUCCGUGCACUAUCAGCUAGUUGGUGAGGUAAUGGCUCACCAAGGCGAUGACGGUUAGCUGGUCUGAGAGGAUGGUCAGCCACACUGGGACUGAGAUACUGCCCAGACUCCUACGGGAGGCUGCAGUCGAGAAUCAUUCGCAAUGGGCGCAAGCCUGACGGUGCGACGUCGCGUGGAGGAUGAAGGUCUUCGGAUUGUAAACUCCUGUCAUGUGGGAUAAAUGGCCAGGGCAUGAAUAGUGCCUUGGAAUGAUAGUACCACAGGAGGAAGGGACGGCUAACUCUGUG
This 483-nucleotide ribosomal RNA is filed under the name uncultured bacterium. RNAcentral describes it as "bacterial SSU rRNA". It matches the Rfam family "Bacterial small subunit ribosomal RNA", at positions 62 to 507 of the family's 1533-position model. The record is from RNAcentral.